RNAcentral lists this transfer RNA (74 nucleotides) under Bacillota bacterium. RNAcentral describes it as "tRNA-Glu". It matches the Rfam family "tRNA". From Rfam's summary of the family: Transfer RNA (tRNA) molecules are approximately 80 nucleotides in length. The record is from RNAcentral. Lineage: Bacteria; Bacillati; Bacillota.
GGCCCGUUGGUCUAGCGGCUUAGGACGCCGCCCUCUCACGGCGGAAACCAGGGGUUCGAAUCCCCUACGGGCUA